CCUACGGGAGGCAGCAGUGAGGAAUAUUGGUCAAUGGACGAGAGUCUGAACCAGCCAAGUAGCGUGAAGGAUGACUGCCCUAUGGUUUGUAAACUUCUUUUAUAAAGGAAUAAAACUAGGCACGUGUGCCUUUUUGCAUGUACUCUAUGAAUAAGGAUCGGCUAACUCCGUGCCAGCAGCCGCGGUAAUACGGAGGAGGCAAGCGUUGUCCGGAUUUAUUGGGUUUAAAGGGAGCGUAGGUGGUUAUGAAAGUUGACUGUUUAAGGUGCGGGCUCAACCUGUACAUUCGGUUGAAACUGGAAGUCUUGAGUGGGGUUGAGGUAGGCGGAAUUCGUGGUGUAGCGGUGAAAUGCGUAGAUAUUAGGAAGAACACCAGUGGCGAAGGCAGCUUACUGGGCUUUAACUGACGCUGAGGCUCGAAAGCGUGGGUAGCAAACAGGAUUAGAUACCCCUGUAGUC
RNAcentral lists this ribosomal RNA (459 nucleotides) under uncultured bacterium. RNAcentral's name for it is "partial 16S ribosomal RNA". It matches the Rfam family "Bacterial small subunit ribosomal RNA", at positions 338 to 795 of the family's 1533-position model. The record is from RNAcentral.